This is a non-coding RNA of Chlorocebus sabaeus (green monkey), 294 nucleotides long. The record is from RefSeq and is a predicted model, not a curated record. NCBI's taxonomy places the organism in Eukaryota, Metazoa, Chordata, Mammalia, Primates, Cercopithecidae.
AGGCAACCAGUCUCAAGGUCCCCCACCUCCAGGAAAGCCACAAGGACCACCCCCACCAGGAGGCAAUCCCCAGCAGCCUCCACCACCUCCUGCUGGAAAGCCCCAGGGACCACCUCCACCUCCUCAAGGUGGCAGACCACCCAGACCUCCCCAGGGACAGCCUCCCCAGUAAUCGAGGUUCAAUGACAGAAACUGAAUAAGAAGAUGACAGUGAUUCAAACGAUUCAAAUGCUGUGACAUUGGAAGAAGGUGGUCAUAGCUCUAACUUCAAUAUACCAAUAAAAUAAUCAGCUU